This 581-nucleotide ribosomal RNA is filed under the name Didymium nivicola. Its description in RNAcentral is "SSU rRNA". It matches the Rfam family "Eukaryotic small subunit ribosomal RNA", at positions 19 to 536 of the family's 1831-position model. Lineage: Eukaryota; Evosea; Eumycetozoa; Physariida; Didymiaceae. The record is from RNAcentral.
AGUAGUGUAUGCUUCUCCUAAAGACUAAGCCAUGCAUGCCUUCGAAUACGAGGAAGCAAUUCUCUCUGAAUCUGCGAACGGCUCCGCAAACCAGUUGUAAACUAUAGCAAGCAAGCCUGGGUUUGCCCUUCACGGGGUGGGCUUGGGUAACAUGGAUAUCCUUGGUAAUUCUGAGGCUAAUACGAGAACGCAAUCCUUGGGCAACCGGGCAACCGGAAGACCGAGAGGCGUGCAAGUUGUGUCGCGAGAAUUCGCCAGGAAUGGAUGCACGCCAGGACCGCGCCAAAGACAGAUAGGUGUUCCCUUGCCUUCAUUGGCUUGGGGGUGCUCGCCUGAGCGGCUCUUGCUGUGUGCUUCUGACCUAUCAACUAGACGGCAGCGUAAGGGACAUGCUAUGGUUACAACGGGUACAGAGGAUUAGGGUUCGAUCCUGGAGAGUGGGCCUGAGAGAUUGCUCAUACUUCUAAGGAAGGCAGCAGGCGCGCAACGUUCCCCUUGUGCAAUGCAUGAGGGCGUUAGGGGACAUAUGGAUGCCUGCCCAUUGGGUGGGCAAUUCAAAUGGGUUUGUUGUAAACAGGCUC